Long non-coding RNA from Aethalodelphis obliquidens (Pacific white-sided dolphin), 3142 nucleotides. RefSeq lists it as uncharacterized. The transcript has 2 exons. NCBI's taxonomy places the organism in Eukaryota, Metazoa, Chordata, Mammalia, Artiodactyla, Delphinidae. The record is from RefSeq and is a predicted model, not a curated record.
CAACAAAAAACAAAACGAAAACAACUGCAAAAAAAAUGAAGUGUGGACAGAGAUGCUCUGGAGAGGGGAGAGAGCCACUCAGAGGUGCAGAGAGAUGCUCUGGAGAGGGGAGAGAGCCACUCAGAGGUGCAGAGAGAUGCUCUGGAGAGGGGAGAGAGCCACUCAGAAGUGUGCAGAGAGAUGCUCUGGAAAGGUGAGAGAGCCACUGAGAAAUUUGCAGAGAGGUGCUCUGGAGAGGGGAGAGAGCCACUGGGUAGUGUGCAAAGACGUGCUCUGGAGAGGGGACAGCCACUCAGAAGUGUGCAGAGAGAUGCUCUGGAGAGGGCAGAGAGCCACUCAGAGGUGUGCAGAGACAUGCUCUGGAGAGGGCAGAGAGCCACUCAGAGGUGUGCAGAGAGAUGCUCUGGGGAGGGGAGAGAGCCACUCAGUAGUGUGCAGAGAGAGGAAAUCCUCGCCAGGUAGCCCCAGUCUCCCGGUUUCAUUCUUUCCUUCCCCUGAUGCGGAUGUGAAAGGCUCGCCCACAGUCGUUAAAAAAGACCCUUUUUUCCUGUGGUUAAACACGUGGCACUUUAUGGCUGCUUUGUAAUGAAGGGGUGAAAACUUUUCCUAACUUUGGCAGCACUGAAAACCAGAGCCAUUAUUUUUCCACAGAACCCAAGGUAAAUGCCAGGAACUUUCUGGUCAGAGAUUUCAGUCUUCUGUAUUUUGGGGUGAGGAAAAGGGACGAUAAUCACAGAGUGAAGCUAGAGGCCUGGAAGGAGCCUUUGGGCCCCUCAUCCACACCCCCUCAUUUAAAAACUGGGAAACUGAGGCUGGAGAACCACUUCAAGCCCGUGGGGAGAAUUAGUGGAUUGACCUGUAAGCCCAGGCGCUUUUCUUUUUUAAUGAAACUAAUGCGUCACAGCUCGAGGGUAAAGGGCCAUAGUUUUGGGGAUUGAAGAAAUCUAGGUUAAAAUCCCUUUCUGUCUGUUCGUUUCUGAGCCUCCGUUUCCCCAUUUGCACAUCUGUUAAAUGGGCGUUAGCUAUCACUUGGGGUUGCUGUAGGACUCACUGGCAUCACAUAGUAGAUUGUACCUUAUUACCAAUACUUCACCAUUUCUGACAUCCAAUUUCAUAAGGUUCAAUUGAAGGGCUGAGGUAAGUGCUUGAUAAAUGAUAGCUUAGUUACUGGAAGCAAAGGACUUCGGGAAGCCAAAGAUUAUCUAGAUCAUUCCAGCUAACCCAUUUCUUCUCAAGUUUGAUCUUAACUAUUUGGGGGGGGGGGCGGUUCUCAGGGAAAGACUAAACUCUGGAGAAUUUCACCUGUGGUGCCUCGAGGGGCCAGGUAGUUGCUCCAGGUGAGUGCGGCCCCUCCUUUCCGAGGCCGCCCGUUGCCGUGGUGCUGGCAGUGUGCGUGGACUCACGCCCCACGGCAGCCGACCCGCGCCAUGGAGUGGGCAUGCCAGUCCCGCUCUCUCUGGGGCCCUAGGACUUUGGUCUUGCCCUCAUCAGGGACACAUCACCUUACGCUGCAUGCCGGGUGCCCAGCUUCUCAGACCAGAAACGCUUCCAGGACAGGUAUGGCUGACCCUUCUGUGCCCCACUUUGCCCCUGUUUGGUGCUUUCAUCCAUCUUUGUGGAUUUCUUCGACUUCCCUCACGGAGAGAUCCUUAGGGGCUUACAGCAACCAAGAAGAGAAGGUCAAGGGAUUUCCAGGUGGAGAGAGGGGAUUUUGGAGAGUGGGAAAAGCCCCUUCAAUAGAAUUUCAGUUAACAUUUGGAUUUUUAACUAGGGGGAGUGUUUUUGGAAAUUUUAUAAUUGGAGCAAUGAACUGUGCUUGGAUUCUGGUGGGUGAGAUUACUGGGAAGACAGUUUUUCUGCGGGGUAGUGGGGGUGGGAGGAGGAAAGUUAGACACCGUACCAGGAAAUCAUAUUAGAAUCUCCUUGGGGCAUUAGCUUUUGAUUUUCCUCAAAGGGGAGCGAAGGUUACACAGAAGGGUUUGCAAAACCCUUCUGCAGACUAGCGGGACUGAAACACUUCAUAUCAAGGGAGUACACUUCAGCUCCCCUUGUAAGAAAGCCCCUUAUGCAUCCCUGGAGGGAGAAGGUAGCUGUUCUGGGCGAAGCAGCCUUCUAACUCACUCUGGCCCUCCAGGUUCCUGACAGGCGCUGUGCAGCGUACCAGCGGCACGCCGGCUCUGGAGGGUCACUGGCACAGGAACUGUGGGCAGUCGGCACUAUAAAUAGGCAGCCGCCACCUCCCAGACUGCUGGGCACACAGCACCGUGAGGCCAGACCCAUAGGUGCUGCUACUGCGAGGCCAGGGUGACUGGGCAAGGGCCCAGGACCAGCGUCCAGACGGUCACCCUGCAGACCAGGUUUACUGAUUGCAUCCUGCCUGCUAAGUACUUUCAUGCAUCUCCUGAUCUUAUCCUUGCAACCGUGCUGUGAGGUUGCAACCAUCACAGUGCCCUUCCCAAAUUGAAAACGGAGGCUCAGAAUGGUGAAGCCUGUUGCCUAAAUUCAGGGACAGAUUAGGACAGAACCCAGGUCUGCCUGGGCCCAAGAUGGAUGCUUUUCGCCUAGGCAGGGGCAGAUAGGGAGUAGGGAGUGUGCGAGAAGCAGGAGUGAGGGUACCUGAGAUCCACGCCCGGUUCUCCCACAUUCUAGCUGUGCGACCUGUGCGGGCCACUUACCCUCUGUCUGUGUCACUGCCAUCAUCUAAUCCAGGCCACGUUACAACCUCGCUGGGGGCAUUAAGUGAGAUGAAGAGUGUAAAGGCUCUUACGAUAGUGCCUGCCACACAGCAGUCGUGAUAGUAAGAGUGAGGAAAGAUUUGAACCCUGAUCCUACCUGGGCUGGACACCUGCCCAGCCCUGCCACUUACCAGCUGGGUGCCCAGGGCCAAGUCAUGAGCAUGAGCUUGGAGCCCACCUGCCUGGGUUCAAAUCCUGCCCCCCGCCCCCGCCCCCGCUCCUUCCCAGUGGUUGGGUCAGUAAGUCACCUUGCUGGGUCUCGCUUCCCUUCUCUGUGAGAUGCAGAUGAUAGAGCUCUUCCCUCGUGGGCUGGUGGUGAGGAUGAAUCCAGGUGACGCAGGUGAGGAACUGAUAGCAGCUCUGGGCUGAGUGUUCAAGAUGUAUGAGUUGCUGCCAAUGUUCUUCCC